AAGCACAAGCCGAAAAUGGUGAAGCCGCGAAUGGCUCAUUACAACAGCCUUCGUUUAUUUGAUCUUGAAUUCCUACUUGGAUAACUGUGGUAAUUCUAGAGCUAAUACACGCACACAAGCUUCAGCCUUUUGGCAGGAGCGCAUUUAUUAGUACAAAACCAAUCGGGCUUUGCCCGUUGUCUGGUGAAUCUGAAUAACUGAGCCGAUCGCAUGGUCCUUGCACCGGCGACGUAUCAUUCAAGUGUCUGCCCUAUCAACUUUCGAUGGUAGUUUAUGUGACUACCAUGGUUGUAACGGGUAACGGAGAAUUAGGGUUCGACUCCGGAGAAGCAGCCUGAGAAACGGCUACUACAUCCAAGGAAGGCAGCAGGCGCGCAAAUUACCCAAUCUCAGCACAAGGAGGUAGUGACGAGAAAUAACGAGGCGAUGCCCUUCUGGGGCUCGCUAUCGGAAUGAGAACAAUUUAAAACCUUUAACGAGGAUCUAGCGGAGGGCAAGUCUGGUGCCAGCAGCCGCGGUAAUUCCAGCUCCGCUAGUGUAUACCACGAGUACUGCGGUUAAAAAGCUCGUAGUUGGAUCUGCGGCAACGGAUGCGGGUCCACCUUAUGGGUGCGUACUUGUAUCCGUGCCUCAUUUGUCAGUAUUUCCCUGCGUUUCCUUUACUGGGUGCGUAGGGAGACUGGCGCUUUUACCUUGAGAAAAUUGGAGUGCUCAGAACAGGCUCUUGCCUGAACAGUUGUGCAUGGAAUAAUGGAAUAGGAUCUUGGUCCUAUUUUGUUGGUUUUAGGGAUUGAGAUAAUGAUUAAGAGGGACAGACGGGGGCAUUCGUAUUGCGACGUUAGAGGUGAAAUUCUUGGAUCGUCGCAAGACGGACAACUGCGAAAGCAUUUGCCAAGAAUGUUUUCAUUAAUCAAGAACGAAAGUUAGAGGUUCGAAGGCGAUCAGAUACCGCCCUAGUUCUAACCGUAAACGAUGCCAACUAGCGAUCCGUCGAUGUUGUUUUAUGACACGACGGGCAGCUUCCCGGAAACGAAAGUCUUCCGGUUCCGUGGGAAGUAUGGUUGCAAAGCUGAAACUUAAAGGAAUUGACGGAAGGGCACCACCAGGAGUGGAGCCUGCGGCUUAAUUUGACUCAACACGGGAAAACUCACCAGGUCAGGAGAUAUUCAGGAUUGACAGGUUGAUCGCCCUUUCAUAAUAGUAUCACGGGUGGUGCAUGGCCGUUCGUAGUUGGUGGAGUGAUCUGUCUGGUUUAUUCCGAUAACGAACGAGACUCUAGCCUGCUAAAUAGCGAGCGGGUAAUUUCGCCCGUAGCGCUUCUUAGAGGGAUAAGCGGCGUCUAGCCGCAUGAAAUUGAGCAAUAACAGGUCUGUGAUGCCCUCAGAUGUCCUGGGCUGCACGCGCGCUACACUGAAGGAAUCAGAGUGCGCAUUUCCUAGCCAGAAAUGGCCGGGUAACCAUUUGAAAAUCCUUCGUGAUUGGGAUAGGGAAUUGCAAUUAUUUCCCUUGAACGAGGAAUUCCCAGUAAGUGCGAGUCAUCAGCUCGCGUUGAUUACGUCCCUGCCCUUUGUACACACCGCCCGUCGCUGCCCGGAACUGAGCCAGUUCGAGAAGAACAGGGACUGCCGGUUCGGGGCCGUUAGGUCCCUUACUGUGCGGAAACUGUUUUGAUCGCAUUGGCUUGAACCGGG
RNAcentral lists this ribosomal RNA (1691 nucleotides) under Desmoscolex sp. ITDL-2011. RNAcentral's name for it is "SSU rRNA". It matches the Rfam family "Eukaryotic small subunit ribosomal RNA". The record is from RNAcentral. Lineage: Eukaryota; Metazoa; Nematoda; Chromadorea; Desmoscolecida; Desmoscolecidae.